CAGUAGCCACGGUAAUACGAAGGGUGCAAGCGUUACUCGGAAUUACUGGGCGUAAAGCGUGCGUAGGUGGUGGUUUAAGUCCGUUGUGAAAGCCCUGGGCUCAACCUGGGAAUUGCAGUGGAUACUGGGUCACUAGAGUGUGGUAGAGGAUAGUGGAAUUUCCGGUGUAGCAGUGAAAUGCGUAGAGAUCGGAAGGAACAUCUGUAGCGAAGGCGACUAUCUGGGCCAACACUGACACUGAGGCACGAAAGCGUGGGGAGCAAACAGGAUUAGAUACCCCUGUAGUCCCUGUCUCUUAUAC
Molecule: ribosomal RNA, 301 nt
Filed under: uncultured bacterium
Lineage: Bacteria
Description: partial 16S ribosomal RNA
Rfam family: Bacterial small subunit ribosomal RNA
Source: RNAcentral